UACAGAGGUCCCAAGCGUUGUUCGGAUUCAUUGGGCGUAAAGCGCGUGUAGGCGGCCAGAUAGGUCCGCUGUGAAAACUCGAGGCUUAACCUCGAGAUGUCGGCGGAAACCAUCUGGCUAGAGUCCGGAAGAGGAGAGUGGAAUUCCCGGUGUAGCGGUGAAAUGCGCAGAUAUCGGGAAGAACACCCGUGGCGAAGGCGGCUCUCUGGGACGGUACUGACGCUGAGACGCGAAAGCGUGGGGAGCGAACAGG
Molecule: ribosomal RNA, 253 nt
Filed under: uncultured bacterium
Lineage: Bacteria
Description: partial 16S ribosomal RNA
Rfam family: Bacterial small subunit ribosomal RNA
Source: RNAcentral